This is a long non-coding RNA of Vicia villosa (hairy vetch), 1241 nucleotides long. RefSeq lists it as uncharacterized. Lineage: Eukaryota; Viridiplantae; Streptophyta; Magnoliopsida; Fabales; Fabaceae. The transcript is spliced from 4 exons. The record is from RefSeq and is a predicted model, not a curated record.
UUAAUUCAAGUUGUUCUUCUCAAUGCAACUUUUCCAAUUCCCAUACAUCUAAUCACCAAUAUCAUUUAUUAAAUUCAGUUUUCGAUGUACUUUUAAUGUUUGUAAAAAAUAUCCAAAACUCAAAAGUUCAAAAUCUCUCCACUCUCUGUGGCCAUGUCUUUCAUUAACUAUGGCAAGGAGUGGUUCUCGCUAGAAUACUCUUAUGGCUUCUUUCUUCUUCAUACCUCAAUCUUACUCUCAAUCUUUAAUCUUUCUUUCAACCUUUGGUUACUCACUAUGUUCAAAUCGGAACCCCAAUUCUCCUUCAGAUCCAGAGUUACGAAGCUGGAUUCUUUGACGCUCUUUUUUCUGGGUUAUUUCUGGUGCUCAUGGGGUUAUUGGAAUUGAGUUUAUUUGAUGGCGUUUUGUGAUUAUAUAGGGAACUGCAUAAAAGGUAUGUAAUUGUGUGUUUGUUUUUAUGUUCAUUGGAAUCUAAAUUUGUUUCAGUUUAAUCCUUUGUUUAGUUAUAUGUUGUGUUUGAUGUUUGUGUACUCAAGGUGUUUGUUAUUUUGUCAAACAGUGUGUAGGAUGUGGUUUCCGCACCCAGACCUGCUAACUUCUACAAAAGCUUGAAUUCUAUUCUUGGUCUAAUUGAAUUUUAUUCAGUCUUCAUUUUAUUAUCGUAAAUUUGUAUCUCUGAUUUGCUUGAUCACUGAAAUAAAUCUGCAGGCAAGAGAUAGUUCUAUUGGAUAAUGAAAUAUCCUUCAACGAGGCCAUGAUUGAAGAAAGAGAUCAGGGUCUUAGAGAGAUAGAAUAGAAAAUUGGAGAAACAAAUGAAAUAUUCAAGGAUCUUGCCGUUUUGGUUCAUGAUCAGGGGAUUGUUAUUGAUGACAUUCAAUCAAAUAUAGAUACUUCUGCUGGUGCAACGGCUCAAGGUAAUGUCCAACUAGCCAAAGCUUCCAAAAGUGUGAAAUCCAAAAAUAAAUGGAUGAGUCAUAAAUACUCUAAUAUAAUGCUGGACACAUUUUUUACUUCCUCAUUAUUACAUUUUCAAGAUUGAUUUAAAUUUUGAUGAAUCUCCUCAUAUUUUAUUGUUGUCUAAAUAUGUUGCAAACUUGGAGUGUGAAGUGUGUUUGUUUGGACCCAAAAAAAUGGGUUUAAAGAGUGUAUUGCUGCCUUUUCAAGUCCAGUAGCCAACAAUUUGGUGUGUUAAGUGAACAUUAGGAAGUGGAAGUUGAAAGAAAUGACUUUAUGUGAAUCAA